GUGUGGCUCAGUGUAGAGCACUUGCCUAGCAUGCAUGAAGCUUGGGUUCAGUCCCCAGCAC
RNAcentral lists this transfer RNA (61 nucleotides) under Ictidomys tridecemlineatus (thirteen-lined ground squirrel). RNAcentral describes it as "Spermophilus tridecemlineatus (thirteen-lined ground squirrel) tRNA". It matches the Rfam family "tRNA", at positions 5 to 66 of the family's 71-position model. From Rfam's summary of the family: Transfer RNA (tRNA) molecules are approximately 80 nucleotides in length. Lineage: Eukaryota; Metazoa; Chordata; Mammalia; Rodentia; Sciuridae. The record is from Rfam by way of RNAcentral.